CAAUAGCGUAUAUUAAAGUUGUUGCAGUUAAAAAGCUCGUAGUUGGAUUUCUGGUGGGAGCGAUCGGUCUGGCGCUUAGCGCGAGUACUUGCAUCGUCUCCGGCCAUCCUUGGGGAGAGUCUGUCUGGCAUUAGGUUGUCGGGCAGAGGAUCCUCAUCGUUUACUGUGAAAAAAUUAGAGUGUUCAAAGCAGGCUUAUGCUGUUGAAUAUAUUAGCAUGGAAUAAUAAGAUAGGACUUUGGUACUAUUUUGUUGGUUUGCGCACCAAAGUAAUGAUUAAUAGGGACAGUUGGGGGUAUUCGUAUUCCGUUGUCAGAGGUGAAAUUCUUGGAUUUACGGAAGACGAACUACUGCGAAAGCAUUUACCAAGGAUGUUUNCAUUAA
This 383-nucleotide ribosomal RNA is filed under the name uncultured eukaryote. RNAcentral describes it as "partial 18S ribosomal RNA". It matches the Rfam family "Eukaryotic small subunit ribosomal RNA", at positions 592 to 976 of the family's 1831-position model. The record is from RNAcentral.